Molecule: non-coding RNA, 84 nt
Filed under: human gut metagenome
Also listed under: 2 other names
Description: TPP riboswitch (THI element)
Rfam family: TPP riboswitch aptamer (THI element)
About the family: Vitamin B(1) in its active form thiamin pyrophosphate (TPP) is an essential coenzyme that is synthesised by coupling of pyrimidine and thiazole moieties in bacteria. The previously detected thiamin-regulatory element, thi box was extended, resulting in a new, highly conserved RNA secondary structure, the THI element, which is widely distributed in eubacteria and also occurs in some archaea. Analysis of operon structures identified a large number of new candidate thiamin-regulated genes, mostly transporters, in various prokaryotic organisms.
Source: RNAcentral
ACCGCUGGGGGCGCGAAAGCUGAGAUGGACAUUCGUCCGGUCCCCUCGAACCUGAUGUGGGUAAUCCCACCGUAGGGAAGCGGA